RNAcentral lists this unclassified non-coding RNA (312 nucleotides) under Phlegmacium pansa. Its description in RNAcentral is "Cortinarius pansa partial internal transcribed spacer region". The stretch from base 1 to 46 matches the Rfam family "Eukaryotic small subunit ribosomal RNA", at positions 1786 to 1831 of the family's 1831-position model. The record is from RNAcentral. Lineage: Eukaryota; Fungi; Basidiomycota; Agaricomycetes; Agaricales; Cortinariaceae.
AAGUCGUAACAAGGUUUCCGUAGGUGAACCUGCGGAAGGAUCAUUAUUGAAAUAAACCUGAUGAGUUGCUGCUGGUUCUCUAGGGAGCAUGUGCACACUUGUCAUCUUUAUAUCUCCACCUGUGCACCUUUUGUAGACCUGGAUAUCUCUCUGAAUGCUUGGCCACUCAGGUUUGAGGAUUGACUUUAUGUCUCUCCUUGCAUUUCCAGGCCUAUGUUUCUUUAUAUACCCAAUGUAUGUCAUAGAAUGUAAUCAAUGGGCCUUUGUGCCUAUAAACCUAUACAACUUUCAGCAACGGAUCUCUUGGCUCUC